UUACGCGCCAGCUAUUGGAAUUAUUAAAGACACCCGGAGUAAAAUUCAAAGUAACUAAACAACAACGCGAGGCUGUUGAUAAAGCAAAAAAAUAUUAUUACUCGAAAAAAUGAAGUUCUUUCGACGGCAGUUAUUUUGGUACGACCAACUGACAAUAAACUAGCCAAAGAAUCUGAAGAAGAAACCGACAAAAAUGUUACGAUUCCUGUAUCACCUUCGAGCGAAGGUUUAUUUUCAUCACCACCACACCAUUGCCAUAGUAGCCACCCAGUGAACA
Long non-coding RNA from Cotesia glomerata, 277 nucleotides. RefSeq lists it as uncharacterized. NCBI's taxonomy places the organism in Eukaryota, Metazoa, Arthropoda, Insecta, Hymenoptera, Braconidae. The record is from RefSeq and is a predicted model, not a curated record. The transcript is spliced from 3 exons.